UACGUAGGGUGCAAGCGUUGUCCGGAAUUAUUGGGCGUAAAGAGCUCGUAGGCGGUUUGUCGCGUCUGCUGUGAAAACUCGGGGCUUAACUCCGGGCCUGCAGUGGGUACGGGCAGACUAGAGUGCGGUAGGGGAGACUGGAAUUCCUGGUGUAGCGGUGAAAUGCGCAGAUAUCAGGAGGAACACCGGUGGCGAAGGCGGGUCUCUGGGCCGUAACUGACGCUGAGGCGCGAAAGCGUGGGGAGCAAACGGG
This 253-nucleotide ribosomal RNA is filed under the name uncultured bacterium. Its description in RNAcentral is "partial 16S ribosomal RNA". It matches the Rfam family "Bacterial small subunit ribosomal RNA", at positions 524 to 776 of the family's 1533-position model. The record is from RNAcentral.